This 322-nucleotide ribosomal RNA is filed under the name uncultured Chloroflexota bacterium. Its description in RNAcentral is "bacterial SSU rRNA". It matches the Rfam family "Bacterial small subunit ribosomal RNA", at positions 28 to 351 of the family's 1533-position model. Lineage: Bacteria; Bacillati; Chloroflexota. The record is from RNAcentral.
GAUGAACGCUGGCGGCGUGCUUGAUACAUGCAAGUCGAACGAAGAUUGUAGCAAUACGAUCUUAGUGGCGAACGGGUGAGUAACGCGUUGGUGACCUGCCCCGAAGUGGGGGAUAACAGCUCGAAAGGGCUGCUAAUACCCCAUGUGAUCUACUGGGUUAGAGGCCGGUAGAUUAAAGGAUUUAUUCGCUUCGGGAGGGGCCUGCGUCCCAUCAGCUAGUUGGUAAGGUAACGGCUUACCAAGGCGAUGACGGGUAGGGGACCUGAGAGGGUGACCCCCCACACUGACACUGAAACACGGGUCAGACACCUACGGGAGGCUG